Molecule: ribosomal RNA, 254 nt
Filed under: uncultured bacterium
Lineage: Bacteria
Description: partial 16S ribosomal RNA
Rfam family: Bacterial small subunit ribosomal RNA
Source: RNAcentral
CACGUAGGGGCCAAGCGUUGUCCGGAUUUAUUGGGCGUAAAGAGCUCGUAGGCGGCUCGGUAAGUCGGGUGUGAAACCUCCAGGCUCAACCUGGAGACGCCACCUGAUACUGCUGUGGCUAGAGUCCGGUAGGGGAGCGUGGAAUUCCUGGUGUAGCGGUGAAAUGCGCAGAUAUCAGGAGGAACACCGGUGGCGAAGGCGGUUCUCUGGGCAUUACCUGACGCUGAGGAGCGAAAGUGUGGGGAGCGAACGGG